GAUGAACGCUGGCGGCGUGCUUAACACAUGCAAGUCGAACGAAGCAUUUAAGACAGAUUACUUCGGUUUGAAGUCUUUUAUGACUGAGUGGCGGACGGGUGAGUAACGCGUGGGUAACCUGCCUCAUACAGGGGGAUAGCAGCUGGAAACGGCUGGUAAUACCGCAUAAGCGCACAGUACCACAUGCUACCGUGUGAAAAACUCCGGUGGUAUGAGAUGUACCCGCGUGUGAUUAUCUGGUUGGCGGGGUAACGGCCCACCAAGGCGACGAUGAGUAGCCGAGAAGAGAGAGUGACCGGCGACAUUUGGGCUGAGCAACGGUAGAGAAUCCUACGGAAUGGAGGAGUGGGGGAUAGAGCAAAAUGGAGUAAGUUAUGAAGCAGUGAGGACGGGUAAGCGAAGAAGUAGUGGGCGAUGAAAAGCUCAAGUAGCAGGGAAGAUAGUGACGGUACCUGACCAAGAAGCCACGGCUAAAUACGUG
RNAcentral lists this ribosomal RNA (481 nucleotides) under uncultured bacterium. RNAcentral describes it as "partial 16S ribosomal RNA". It matches the Rfam family "Bacterial small subunit ribosomal RNA", at positions 28 to 507 of the family's 1533-position model. The record is from RNAcentral.